This 460-nucleotide ribosomal RNA is filed under the name uncultured bacterium. Its description in RNAcentral is "partial 16S ribosomal RNA". It matches the Rfam family "Bacterial small subunit ribosomal RNA", at positions 338 to 795 of the family's 1533-position model. The record is from RNAcentral.
CCUACGGGAGGCUGCAGUGAGGAAUAUUGGUCAAUGGGCGCGAGCCUGAACCAGCCAAGUCGCGUGAGGGAUGACUGCCCUACGGGUUGUAAACUUCUUUUAUAAGGGAAUAAAGUGAGGCACGUGUGCCUUUUUGUAUGUACUUUAUGAAUAAGGAUCGGCUAACUCCGUGCCAGCAGCCGCGGUAAUACGGAGGAUCCGAGCGUUAUCCGGAUUUAUUGGGUUUAAAGGGAGCGUAGAUGGGUUUUUAAGUCAGUGGUGAAAGUUUGCGGCUCAACCGUAAAAUUGCAAUUGAUACUGGCAGCCUUGAGUACAGUUGAGGCAGGCGGAAUUCGUGGUGUAGCGGUGAAAUGCUUAGAUAUCACGAAGAACCCCGAUUGCGAAGGCAGCCUACUAAACUGUCACUGACAUUGAUGCUCGAAAGCGUGGGUAUCAAACAGGAUUAGAUACCCUAGUAGUC